This 465-nucleotide ribosomal RNA is filed under the name uncultured bacterium. RNAcentral describes it as "partial 16S ribosomal RNA". It matches the Rfam family "Bacterial small subunit ribosomal RNA", at positions 329 to 793 of the family's 1533-position model. The record is from RNAcentral.
UUCCAGACUCCUACGGGAGGCAGCAGUGAGGAAUAUUGGUCAAUGGGCGGGAGCCUGAACCAGCCAUGCCGCGUGAAGGCGAGUGCCCUACGGGCGUUAAACUUCCUUUGUGCGGGAGCAAUAAGGGCCACGCGUGGCCCGAUGAGAGUACCGCACGAAUAAGCAUCGGCUAACUCCGUGCCAGCAGCCGCGGUAAUACGGGGGAUGCGAGCGUUAUCCGGAUUUAUUGGGUUUAAAGGGUGCGCAGGCGGCACGGCAAGCCGGCGGGCAAAUCGCGGGGCUCAACCCCGCCCAGCCGUCGGAACUGCCGGGCUAGAGUGGGCGAGAAGUGCGCGGAAUGCGUGGUGUAGCGGUGAAAUGCAUAGAUAUCACGCAGAACUCCGAUUGCGAAGGCAGCGCACCGGCGCCCUACUGACGCUCAGGCACGAAAGCGUGGGUAUCGAACAGGAUUAGAUACCCGAGUAA